Molecule: ribosomal RNA, 253 nt
Filed under: uncultured bacterium
Lineage: Bacteria
Description: partial 16S ribosomal RNA
Rfam family: Bacterial small subunit ribosomal RNA
Source: RNAcentral
UACGGAGGAUCCAAGCGUUAUCCGGAUUCAUUGGGUUUAAAGGGUGCGUAGGCGGAAUUGUAAGUCAGUGGUGAAAGCCUGCAGCUUAACUGCAGAAUUGCCAUUGAUACUGCAAAUCUUGAGUACAUUUGAUGUGGGCGGAAUGUGUCAUGUAGCGGUGAAAUGCUUAGAUAUGACACAGAACACCGAUUGCGAAGGCAGCUCACAAAACUGUAACUGACGCUGAGGCACGAAAGCAUGGGGAUCGAGCAGG